Molecule: ribosomal RNA, 191 nt
Filed under: Beauveria bassiana
Lineage: Eukaryota; Fungi; Ascomycota; Sordariomycetes; Hypocreales; Cordycipitaceae
Description: partial 18S ribosomal RNA
Rfam family: Eukaryotic small subunit ribosomal RNA
Source: RNAcentral
GAUUACGUCCCUGCCCUUUGUACACACCGCCCGUCGCUACUACCGAUUGAAUGGCUCAGUGAGGCGUCCGGACUGGCCCAGGGAGGUGGGCAACUACCCCCCAGGGCCGGAAAGCUCUCCAAACUCGGUCAUUUAGAGGAAGUAAAAGUCGUAACAAGGUCUCCGUUGGUGAACCAGCGGAGGGAUCAUUA